CUCCGGGUGAUCCCGCCGGACCCGACUGCUAUCAGAGUGGGACUAAGCCAUGCGAGUCAACGUAGCAAUACGUGGCAUACGGCUCAGUAACACGUAGUCAACAUGCCCAGGGGACGUGGAUAACCUCGGGAAACUGAGGAUAAACCGCGAUAAGCCAAGGUUUCUGGAAUGGACACUGGCUGAAACCUAUACGGCCCCUGGAUUGGACUGCGGCCGAUCAGGCUGUUGGUGAGGUAAUGGCCCACCAAACCUGUAACCGGUACGGGCUUUGAGAGAAGGAGCCCGGAGAUGGGCACUGAGACAAGGGCCCAGGCCCUAUGGGGCGCAGCAGGCGCGAAACCUCUGCAAUAGGCGAAAGCUUGACAGGGUUACUCUGAGUGAUGCCCGCUAAGGGCAUCUUUUGGCACCUCUAAAAAUGGUGCAGAAUAAGGGGUGGGCAAGUCUGGUGUCAGCCGCCGCGGUAAUACCAGCACCCCGAGUGGUCGGGACGAUUAUUGGGCCUAAAGCAUCCGUAGCUUGUUCUGCAAGUCCUCCGUUAAAUCCACCUGCUCAACAGAUGGGCCGCGGAGGAUACUACAGGGCUAGGAGGCGGGAGAGGCAAGCGGUACUCAGUGGGUAGGGGUAAAAUCCUCUGAUCCAUAGAAGACCACCAGUGGCGAAGGCGGCUUGCCAGAACGCGCUCGACGGUGAGGGAUGAAAGCUGGGGGAGCAAACCGGAUUAGAUACCCGGGUAGUCCCAGCUGUAAACGAUGCAGACUCGGUGAUGGGUUGGCUUUGAGCCAACCCAGUGCCGCAGGGAAGCCGUUAAGUCUGCCGCCUGGGGAGUACGGUCGCAAGACUGAAACUUAAAGGAAUUUGGCGGGGAGCA
RNAcentral lists this ribosomal RNA (868 nucleotides) under uncultured archaeon. RNAcentral describes it as "bacterial SSU rRNA". It matches the Rfam family "Archaeal small subunit ribosomal RNA", at positions 1 to 878 of the family's 1478-position model. The record is from RNAcentral.